GUGGGGAAUUUUGGACAAUGGGGGAAACCCUGAUCCAGCGACGCCGCGUGAGGGAAGACGGCCUUCGGGUUGUAAACCUCUUUUGUACGGGAAGAAGGAAGUGACGGUACUGUACGAAUAAGUCCCGGCUAACUACGUGCCAGCAGCCGCGGUAAUACGUAGGGGACGAGCGUUGUCCGGAAUUACUGGGCGUAAAGGGCGCGCAGGCUGUGCUGCAAGUCAGCUGUGAAAUGUCUGGGCUUAACCCGGGCAUGCGGUUGAGACUGCAGUGCUGGAGUGCUGUAGAGGCAAGUGGAAUUCCCAGUGUAGCGGUGAAAUGCGUAGAUAUUGGGAAGAACACCGGUGGCGAAGGCGACUUGCUGGGCAGCAACUGACGCUGAGGCGCGAAAGCCAGGGGAGCAAACGGGAUUAGAUACCCGAGUAGUCC
RNAcentral lists this ribosomal RNA (427 nucleotides) under uncultured bacterium. RNAcentral's name for it is "partial 16S ribosomal RNA". It matches the Rfam family "Bacterial small subunit ribosomal RNA", at positions 354 to 796 of the family's 1533-position model. The record is from RNAcentral.